This is a long non-coding RNA of Strigops habroptila (Kakapo), 100 nucleotides long. RefSeq lists it as uncharacterized. The transcript has 5 exons. Lineage: Eukaryota; Metazoa; Chordata; Aves; Psittaciformes; Psittacidae. The record is from RefSeq and is a predicted model, not a curated record.
GUGGCCCUCCUUUGGACUUGCUCCAACAGCUCCAUGUCCUUCUUAUGUUGAGGAUACCAGAACUGUAUACAGGCAGCAGUUUGAAAACCUGAAAUAUAUU